This 208-nucleotide long non-coding RNA is filed under the name Manihot esculenta (cassava). RNAcentral's name for it is "long non-coding RNA (MESC_LNC005493)". Lineage: Eukaryota; Viridiplantae; Streptophyta; Magnoliopsida; Malpighiales; Euphorbiaceae. The record is from RNAcentral.
UGAUGCCCCUAGGAACUUGUAUGCUUGUGUAUGAGUGUUGUAGAAUAGGUUUAUGCAUGUUUGGAUGAGAGUGGAGGCAUAAAUGCAUAAGGGAGCUGAGUUUCUGCCAUUCUGGGAGAAACCAGGUUCGGCAGCCGAAGGAACUUUCGGCCGCCGAACGUGCUUGUGGAGGCAGCCUUCGGCUGCCGAAGCUUGCCCCCGAAAGGAG